ACGGAGGGUGCGAGCGUUGUUCGGAAUUAUUGGGCGUAAAGCGCGCGUAGGCGGUCUUUUAAGUCUGAUGUGAAAGGCCCGGGCUCAACCUGGGAUUGGCGGUGGAAACUGCAAGACUUGAGUAUGGGAGGGGGUAGUGGAAUUCCAGGUGUAGGGGUGAAAUCUGUAGAUAUUAGGAGGAACACCGGUGGCGAAGGCGGCUUCCUGGACCUAUACUGACGCUGAGGCGCGAAAGCGUGGGGAGCAAACAG
This 251-nucleotide ribosomal RNA is filed under the name uncultured prokaryote. Its description in RNAcentral is "partial 16S rRNA". It matches the Rfam family "Bacterial small subunit ribosomal RNA", at positions 525 to 775 of the family's 1533-position model. The record is from RNAcentral.